This is a non-coding RNA of Drosophila virilis, 596 nucleotides long. Lineage: Eukaryota; Metazoa; Arthropoda; Insecta; Diptera; Drosophilidae. The record is from RefSeq and is a predicted model, not a curated record.
CACUAACCUAAUUGUGAUUCGGGGUGACCCUUAAAGAAAAGUUUCCGUGCCUGCUCAGUUGACUAGAUUUAGACGUACUAGUCGGCACUACCAGAGGGGGAGAUCGGACCAGACAAGGGCAACACCAAGAGCACGUGUCGCACUUAGCAACCCAGCAGAACCAAUUUUGUUGCUAUUUUACUUAUCAGCCGCUGUCUUGCGAAGAACAACAUCUGGCAUAGCCUCGGAAAACGGCGUCAAGCGGGUGAAACGCUUACUAUUUAUGCAGCACCAUCGGGACCGCAUGCACUAAGCAUAUAGUGUAACCUGCAGAGAGUAACAAAGGAGCCGACAACAGCGAUCAUAAUCGUCGUAUACAUUGGGCCCAACGUCUGCUUCGAAGGAUAUCGCGUGAGUAAGAGUUUAAACCAAUGCCUAUAGAUAUAUGUAAUUAUAUACACACAUGAACAUUUAAAUGCAGUUAAUUUAGCAAGACGGUAAAUUAAUUACUAUCCGUCAAGUCUCAAGAUAAUGUUGGUGAAUUUCUCCUUCCCCUUAAUUUCUUUAUGGGAUUUAAACUAGUUAUUGCACAUUCAUCAUAUUAACUUUGGAUUCAA